RNAcentral lists this transfer RNA (72 nucleotides) under Nitrosarchaeum sp. RNAcentral's name for it is "Candidatus Nitrosoarchaeum sp. tRNA-His". It matches the Rfam family "tRNA". Rfam says of the family: Transfer RNA (tRNA) molecules are approximately 80 nucleotides in length. Their secondary structure includes four short double-helical elements and three loops (D, anti-codon, and T loops). The record is from RNAcentral. Lineage: Archaea; Thermoproteati; Nitrososphaerota; Nitrososphaeria; Nitrosopumilales; Nitrosopumilaceae.
GCCUUCGUAGUACAGUGGUUAGUAUAGAGGAUUGUGGAUCCUCGGACAGGGUUUCGAUUACCCUCGAGGGCC